GAGGGUAUAGCUUAGGCGGUAAGGCAACGGCCUUCAAAACCGUAGAUAUAGGUUCAAUUCCUAUUGUCCUCGCCU
Molecule: transfer RNA, 75 nt
Filed under: Candidatus Hodgkinia cicadicola
Lineage: Bacteria; Pseudomonadati; Pseudomonadota; Alphaproteobacteria; Hyphomicrobiales
Description: tRNA-Ser
Rfam family: tRNA
About the family: Transfer RNA (tRNA) molecules are approximately 80 nucleotides in length. Their secondary structure includes four short double-helical elements and three loops (D, anti-codon, and T loops).
Source: RNAcentral